ACGAACGCUGGCGGCGUGCUUAACACAUGCAGGUCGAACGGAUCAGGGAAGCUUGCUUUUCUGGUUAGCGGCGAACGGGUGAGUAACACGUGAGUAACCUGCCCUUCACUCUGGGAUAACUCCGGGAAACCGGGGCUAAUACUGGAUACGACCUGAACAGGCAUCUGUAUUGGGUGGAAAGAUUUAUUGGUGGAGGAUGGACUCGCGGCCUAUCAGCUUGUUGGUGAGGUAAUGGCUCACCAAGGCGACGACGGGUAGCCGGCCUGAGAGGGCGAUCGGCCACACUGGGACUGAGACACGGCCCAGACUCCUACGGGAGGUAGCAGUGGGGAAUAUUGCACAAUGGGCGAAAGCCUGAUGCAGCGACGCCGCGUGAGGGAUGAAGGCCUUCGGGUUGUAAACCUCUUUCAGCAGGGAAGAAGUGCCUGGGUUUUCUUGGGUGUGACGGUACCUGCAGAAGAAGCACCGGCUAACUACGUGCCAGCAGCCGCGGUAAUACGUAGGGUACAAGCGUUGUCCGGAAUUAUUGGGCGUAAAGAGCUUGUAGGCGGUUUGUCGCGUCUGCUGUGAAAUUUCGGGGCUCAACCCCGAACUUGCAGUGGGUACGGGCAGACUAGAGUGUGGUAGGGGAGACUGGAAUUCCUGGUGUAGCGGUGAAAUGCGCAGAUAUCAGGAGGAACACCGAUGGCGAAGGCAGGUCUCUGGGCCACUACUGACGCUGAGAAGCGAAAG
This 732-nucleotide ribosomal RNA is filed under the name uncultured soil bacterium. RNAcentral's name for it is "bacterial SSU rRNA". It matches the Rfam family "Bacterial small subunit ribosomal RNA", at positions 29 to 759 of the family's 1533-position model. The record is from RNAcentral.